This 430-nucleotide ribosomal RNA is filed under the name uncultured bacterium. RNAcentral's name for it is "bacterial SSU rRNA". It matches the Rfam family "Bacterial small subunit ribosomal RNA", at positions 354 to 776 of the family's 1533-position model. The record is from RNAcentral.
GUAGGGAAUCUUCCGCAAUGGGCGAAAGCCUGACGGAGCAACGCCGCGUGAGUGAUGAAGGUCUUCGGAUCGUAAAACUCUGUUAUUAGGGAAGAACAUACGUGUAAGUAACUAUGCACGUCUUGACGGUACCUAAUCAGAAAGCCACGGCUAACUACGUGCCAGCAGCCGCGGUAAUACGUAGGUGGCAAGCGUUAUCCGGAAUUAUUGGGCGUAAAGCGCGCGUAGGCGGUUUUUUAAGUCUGAUGUGAAAGCCCACGGCUCAACCGUGGAGGGUCAUUGGAAACUGGAAAACUUGAGUGCAGAAGAGGAAAGUGGAAUUCCAUGUGUAGCGGUGAAAUGCGCAGAGAUAUGGAGGAACACCAGUGGCGAAGGCGACUUUCUGGUCUGUAACUGACGCUGAUGUGCGAAAGCGUGGGGAUCAAACAGG